AGAAAAUGCUUUCGUUUUGAAUUAUUUGAAAGAAAGAAAACUCUAAAAAUUGGACACAGAAAGGAAUUAAAGAUUACAAUUAAAGGAGAACACUCAAACUUGACUUACUAAUAUAGAAUGAAGCAAAGUAUUUUAAUAUUGGAUGUACUGAAGGAUAUUUUUGAAAGAAUGGAGCCAGAAAUUAAUACCUGCCUCUGUAGAUAGACUGUGCUUCAAAGAUCCACGUACAAGGAACAAACAUUUCUUGGCACAAUUGAGACUUGAUCUGAAAGUGGCUUUAAAAACGAAAAGUUACAAGAACGACAAGGAAAAAGAUGCUUCACUGGACAUACAAAAAAAAAAGGCUCAUGCUUAAUAAUUCAAAGGGAUGACAAACCAAGAUUGGCAACUCAAAAAGUCCCGACAGACGGAGGAGGAGAUGCUCUAUGGCAGCACCCCCACCAAGAGACGGGCUUUGGGCAUCACCACACCUGGCAAAGCACGAAAGCGCGCACUUUCAGAGGCUUCCAAAUCUGAGCACCCAUCCCACGUCCUCAACUCCACGAUGUCCAAUCCCGACGGCUGAAGGGGGGCCAUUACCAGCCCUGGAUCCUCUCACCAUCCAGGGUCCGGCCGGCAUGAACUGGACCUUUUGGGGCCUGGUUUACGCUGCCACUUUUAACAUUUUGUAAUGAAUUGAUUUCCAAGUUUUUUGUUACAGGGAAUAAAGGUCUAGAUGCAGCAGCUGUUGUGGGCUCAGGCCUGCUGCCUUGUCCACAGGGGAGGGGGGGCAGGGAGAGGUUUGCCUCCUUUCCUUGGGCAACCUUGUCCACCCAGGCCCAGCAGAUGGUCUCCGGCUCACCUUGGGCCCAGGAAGGGGAGACACUACAGGGAGUCCUCUACAAGGAUGCACCCCCUCCCUCUUCACCUCCUGGCCCGUCUGCUGGCUGGGCUGAGAGGCUGGCAUCCCUGGCACUUUGACUAUACUUUUAACGAUCAUGGCUAGAUUUGCACCUUCUUCACUACAGCAGCCUCUUAUUUAUUUGUGUGGCUGUUCGCUUGUUCAAAGAUGUAGGUGAGCAGCAAAAAAUCAGUUGUACUGUUUUGAAAGGGCUUUUUAAAAAUGUCUGACUUUGCUCUACAUAAAAGAUAUUUUUAUUCUGCA
Notechis scutatus (mainland tiger snake) is the source of this 1144-nucleotide long non-coding RNA. RefSeq lists it as uncharacterized. NCBI's taxonomy places the organism in Eukaryota, Metazoa, Chordata, Lepidosauria, Squamata, Elapidae. The record is from RefSeq and is a predicted model, not a curated record.